This 879-nucleotide ribosomal RNA is filed under the name Triticum aestivum (bread wheat). RNAcentral describes it as "partial small subunit ribosomal RNA". The record is from RNAcentral. Lineage: Eukaryota; Viridiplantae; Streptophyta; Magnoliopsida; Poales; Poaceae.
AUGAGCGGUGUGCCACACCAUCAAGGCAGCGUCAACCUAUAUCAGUACGGGGAUAACUGGGCGCGGCACAACAAGGCGGAUGUUCCAGAGUUGUUCAACCUCUAUGCCAUGGCCCAUAGUGCCCCGUAUAAGAAGGCCAAGGCAUUCUCUGAGUCUGAUCUCGAUGAUCCAAAGAACUUCACCAACCGCGCCUCCCACAACAAGCUCGUGAGGUACAGAGACGAGGGGAAGGCGAGGAAAGGGCCGGACUUUAACCCAAGCCAGCCUAUUGAUCCAGAGCUGGUGAUGAUAUCUGGUGGCGGGAGGAACCAUGGCUUGUUAGCCAUUGGGGAUGGACUGAUACGUUGUACUAGCACUCUCCCGCAGAUCAAGAGGCGCCAGACGAGCUCCGAUCCUGAGAUAAGGCCUCGUCCACGGCCAAUGGAUCUCGAAAUCAAGCAAGCUGCUAUUGAGGAAGGGAGAGCAAAGACCCAGGAGCUUCUGGCGGAGGUAAGGAGGCAGGCGGCGGAGAGGGAGAGGGAGAUUGAUGAGAGGACGGCUAGGCUUUUGGAGGAGGAGAGGAACCGGAACGACUUGGCUAACCGGGCCAUAUACGAGCUCUUCGCGUCCAUGUGCGAGAAGAACGGUCAGACCCCUCCGCCGAUGCCAGUCAUUGCUCCGGCGGACACGCAUAACUCCCGACAAGCAUCGACGUCUGCAUUGGCGCGAGCAAGAACCCCGAUCCUCCUCCGUCUGCCACUACCGCGAGCAAGAACCCCGAUCCUUCACCUACGGGUUGAUGAUUUGCUUCAGAUCACGGAAGCUUGGGUUGAUGGAGUGCUUGUCUUUAGUUUUUGUUUUGACUUUGUGAAACUUGCUACCUAUGAUGAAACUGUGUAA